ACAGCUGAAAAGGAUCCCCAGGCCUGUAGGAGUGGGGUAGAGGAAACUACAGAGUUGGUCUACAGCCAAAUAAUAUGGAGGAAAUAAGAAGAAACCGUUUCCAGAGGAACCAGAGGAUGUUUUUGGGGAGAUUAGUAGACGACACCGUGCCUUGUAAUUUCUAACCAUAACACAAAAGUACUUUGUACAUUGUUCAUUGCCAUAUACGUCUGUAUUGCUUUCAA
Molecule: long non-coding RNA, 224 nt
Organism: Engraulis encrasicolus (European anchovy)
Lineage: Eukaryota; Metazoa; Chordata; Actinopteri; Clupeiformes; Engraulidae
Exons: 3
Source: RefSeq, a predicted model, not a curated record